CCUACGGGAGGCAGCAGUAGGGAAUCUUCCACAAUGGACGAAAGUCUGAUGGAGCAACGCCGCGUGAGUGAAGAAGGGUUUCGGCUCGUAAAGUUCUGUCGGUGGUGAAGAAAGAUAGAGGUAGUAACUGGGCUUUAUUUGACGGUAAUUACUUAGGAAGUACCGGCUAACUACGUGCCAGCAGCCGCGGUAAUACGUAGGUGGCAAGCGUUGUCCGGAUUUAUUGGGCGUAAAGCGCGUGCAGGCGGUUCAAUAAGUCUGAUGUGAAAGCCCUGGGCUCAACCGGGGAACUGCAUCAGAUACUGGUGGACUUGAGUGCAGAAGAGGGGAGUAGAACUCCAGGUGUAGCGGUGGAAUGCGUAGAGAUAUGGAAGAACACCAGUGGCGAAGGCGGCUCUCUGGUCGGCAACUGACGCUGAGGCGCGAAAGCAUGGGUAGCGAACAGGAUUAGAUACCCCUGUAGUC
Molecule: ribosomal RNA, 465 nt
Filed under: uncultured bacterium
Lineage: Bacteria
Description: partial 16S ribosomal RNA
Rfam family: Bacterial small subunit ribosomal RNA
Source: RNAcentral